This 399-nucleotide unclassified non-coding RNA is filed under the name Hevea brasiliensis (rubber tree). The record is from RNAcentral. Lineage: Eukaryota; Viridiplantae; Streptophyta; Magnoliopsida; Malpighiales; Euphorbiaceae.
CGGUGCUUGUAGAAUAAAUUAGAUCUACUACCCAUUCUCAUUCUGGAAGGCUUAUUUCCAACAGUUACCCACCCACAAUGAAUAGACCUAAACAACUAGCCAAGUACUAAGAUAUGUUUAUCGAGUAAGUAGCAAACUCGGGGAAACUAGAGCUUUGAAAUGGCUGAAGCAGGCAAGCUGGAUCUUGCAGGGAGCUUUAGGUCUUCCCACUCUUCGUCUUCAAUCCUAGAGAAGUACCUCUCAACCAUAGCAUCAGUGACGAGCCCCAGAUUAGAGGGUUCCCACUUUGGGUUCCGGUCCUUAUCCAACAGUAUAGCUCGGCAACCCUCAACAAAAUCUUUGCUGACUUCCCCCCGCAAGACAUGACAAACCAUUCUGUACUCACGAAUGAGACACUGG